UACGAAGGGGGCUAGCGUUGCUCGGAAUUACUGGGCGUAAAGGGAGCGUAGGCGGACAGUUUAGUCAGAGGUGAAAGCCCAGGGCUCAACCUUGGAAUUGCCUUUGAUACUGGCUAUCUUGAGUACGGAAGAGGUAUGUGGAACUCCGAGUGUAGAGGUGAAAUUCGUAGAUAUUCGGAAGAACACCAGUGGCGAAGGCGACAUACUGGUCCGUUACUGACGCUGAGGCUCGAAAGCGUGGGGAGCAAACAGG
Molecule: ribosomal RNA, 253 nt
Filed under: uncultured bacterium
Lineage: Bacteria
Description: partial 16S ribosomal RNA
Rfam family: Bacterial small subunit ribosomal RNA
Source: RNAcentral